AGAGUUUGAUCCUGGCUCAGGACGAACGCUAGCGGCGUGGAUAAGGCAUGCAAGUCGAGCGGGCAUCUUCGGAUGUCAGCGGCAGACGGGUUAGUAACGCGUGGGAAGCUACCUCGUACUCAGGAAUACGCCGCCGAAAGGCGGUUUAAUACCUGAUGGUCCCGCAAGGGUAAAGAUUUAUCGGUACGAGAGGCGCCUGCGUCCUAUCAGCUUGUUGGUGAGGUAAUGGCUCACCAAGGCGAUGACGGGUAGGGGGUGUGAGAGCAUGACCCCCAACACUGGAACUGAGACACGGUCCAGACACCUACGGGUGGCUGCAGUCGAGAAUCUUCCACAAUGGACGAAAGUCUGAUGGAGCGACGCCGCGUGCGGGAUGAAGGCCUUCGGGUUGUAAACCGCUUUUAUGAGGGAAGAACUUUUGUGACGGUACCUCAUGAAUAAGGGGCUGCUAAUCACGUGCCAGCAGCAGCGGUAAUACGUGAGCCCCAAGCGUUGUCCGGAGUCACUGGGCGUAAAGCGUCUGCAGGCGGUUAUGUUAGUCGUGUGUUAAAUAUGCGGGCUCAACCCGUAUGCCGCGCACGAAACGGCAUGACUAGAGGGUGUGAGAGGUGAGUGGAACUUACGGUGUAGGGGUGGAAUCCGUUGAUAUCGUAGGGAACACCAAAGGCGAAGGCAGCUCACUGGCACAACCCUGACGCUCAGAGACGAAAGUGUGGGUAGCGAAUGGGAUUAGAUACCCCAGUAGUCCACACUGUAAAUGUUGAACACUAGCCGUGUGGAGUGUCGACCCUCCACGUGGCGAAGCUAACGCGUUAAGUGUUCCGCCUGGGAAGUACGAUCGCAAGAUUAAAACUCAAAGGAAUAGACAGGGACUCGCACAAGCGGUGGAGCAUGUGGUUUAAUUCGUCGAUAAGCGAAGCACCUCACCAGGGCUUGACAUUCAUACGACAGACUCGGGAAACCGAGUCCUCCUUUCAGGCGUAUGGACAGGUGUUGCAUGGCUGUCGUCAGUUUGUGCCGUGAGGCGCUCCCUUAAGUGGGAUAACAAACGCAACCCUCGUUGUCUGUUAUACGUGUCAGACAAGACUGCCGCGCACAACGCGGAGGAAGGCGAGGAUGACGCCAAGUCAGCAUGGCCCUUUGACGCCCUGGGCGACACACGUGCUACAAUGGCCGGCACAAUGGGUUGCCAAACCGCGAGGUGGAGCUAAUCCCAUCAAAGCCGGUCUCAGUUCGGAUUGGAGUCUGCAACUCGACUCCAUGAAGUUGGAAUCGCUAGUAAUCGCAGGUCAGCCACACUGCGGUGAAUACGUUCUCGAGUCUUGUACUCACCGCCCGUCAAGUCAGCGAAGUUGAUGGCACCUGAAGUCUCCCGGUCUGCCGGGGGCCCAAGGUGAAGUCAAUGACGAGGAUUAAGUCGUAACAAGGUAACC
Molecule: ribosomal RNA, 1433 nt
Filed under: uncultured bacterium
Lineage: Bacteria
Description: 16S ribosomal RNA
Rfam family: Bacterial small subunit ribosomal RNA
Source: RNAcentral